GCCGGCAGCUAGCUCUCUGCAACUCUCACAUGGUCGCCCACUGAAGCUAAGCAGGGCUGCGCCCGGUCAGUACCUGAAUGGGAGACCACAUGGGAAAGCUAGGUUGCUGCCGGAA
RNAcentral lists this ribosomal RNA (115 nucleotides) under Danio rerio (zebrafish). Lineage: Eukaryota; Metazoa; Chordata; Actinopteri; Cypriniformes; Danionidae. The record is from RNAcentral.